GACGAACGCUGGCGGCGUGCUUAACACAUGCAAGUCGAACGGAAAGGCCCUGCUUUUGUGGGGUGCUCGAGUGGCGAACGGGUGAGUAACACGUGAGUAACCUGCCCUUGACUUUGGGAUAACUUCAGGAAACUGGGGCUAAUACCGGAUAGGAGCUCCUGCUGCAUGGUGGGGGUUGGAAAGUUUCGGCGGUUGGGGAUGGACUCGCGGCUUAUCAGCUUGUUGGUGGGGUAGUGGCUUACCAAGGCUUUGACGGGUAGCCGGCCUGAGAGGGUGACCGGCCACAUUGGGACUGAGAUACGGCCCAGACUCCUACGGGAGGCAGCAGUGGGGAAUAUUGCACAAUGGGCGGAAGCCUGAUGCAGCAACGCCGCGUGCGGGAUGACGGCCUUCGGGUUGUAAACCGCUUUCGCCUGUGACGAAGCGUGAGUGACGGUAAUGGGUAAAGAAGCACCGGCUAACUACGUGCCAGCAGCCGCGGUGAUACGUAGGGUGCGAGCGUUGUCCGGAUUUAUUGGGCGUAAAGGGCUCGUAGGUGGUUGAUCGCGUCGGAAGUGUAAUCUUGGGGCUUAACCCUGAGCGUGCUUUCGAUACGGGUUGACUUGAGGAAGGUAGGGGAGAAUGGAAUUCCUGGUGGAGCGGUGGAAUGCGCAGAUAUCAGGAGGAACACCAGUGGCGAAGGCGGUUCUCUGGGCCUUUCCUGACGCUGAGGAGCGAAAGCGUGGGGAGCGAACAGGCUUAGAUACCCUGGUAGUCCACGCUGUAAACGGUGGGUACUAGGUGUGGGGUCCAUUCCACGGGUUCCGUGCCGUAGCUAACGCUUUAAGUACCCCGCCUGGGGAGUACGGCCGCAAGGCUAAAACUCAAAGGAAUUGACGGGGCCCCGCACAAGCGGCGGAGCAUGCGGAUUAAUUCGAUGCAACGCGUAGAACCUUACCUGGGUUUGACAUGGAUCGGGAGUGCUCAGAGAUGGGUGUGCCUCUUUUGGGGUCGGUUCACAGGUGGUGCAUGCCUGUCGUCAGCUCGUGUCGUGAGAUGUUGGGUUAAGUCCCGCAACGAGCGCAACCCUUGUUCACUGUUGCCAGCACGUUAUGGUGGGGACUCAGUGGAGACCGCCGGGGUCAACUCGGAGGAAGGUGGGGAUGACGUCAAGCCAUCAUGCCCCCUAUGUCCAGGGCUUCACGCAUGCUACAAUGGCUGGUACAGAGAGUGGCGAGCCUGUGAGGGUGAGCGAAUCUCGGAAAGCCGGUCUCAGUUCGGAUUGGGGUCUGCAACUCGACCUCAUGAAGUCGGAGUCGCUAGUAAUCGCAAAUCAGCAACGCUGCGGUGAAUACGUUCCCGGG
This 1343-nucleotide ribosomal RNA is filed under the name uncultured bacterium. RNAcentral describes it as "16S ribosomal RNA". It matches the Rfam family "Bacterial small subunit ribosomal RNA", at positions 28 to 1378 of the family's 1533-position model. The record is from RNAcentral.